RNAcentral lists this ribosomal RNA (497 nucleotides) under uncultured bacterium. RNAcentral's name for it is "partial 16S ribosomal RNA". It matches the Rfam family "Bacterial small subunit ribosomal RNA", at positions 28 to 507 of the family's 1533-position model. The record is from RNAcentral.
GAUGAACGCUGGCGGCGUGCCUAAUACAUGCAAGUAGAACGCUGAAGGAAGGAGCUUGCUCUUUCCGGAUGAGUUGCGAACGGGUGAGUAACGCGUAGGUAACCUGCCUGGUAGCGGGGGAUAACUAUUGGAAACGAUAGCUAAUACCGCAUAACAGUAGAUGUUGCAUGAUAUCUACUUAAAAGGUGCAAUUGCACCACUACCAGAUGGACCUGCGUUGUAUUAGCUAGUUGGUGAGGUAACGGCUCACCAAGGCGACGAUACAUAGCCGACCUGAGAGGGUGGUCGGCCACACUGGGACUGAGACCCGGCCCAGACUCCUACGGGGGGCCGCAGUAGGGAAUCUUCGGCAAUGGACGGAAGUCUGACCGGGCAACGCCGCGUGAGUGAAGAAGGUUUUCGGAUCGUAAAGCUCUGUUGUAAGGGAAGAACGAGUGUGAGAGUGGAAAGUUCACACUGUGACGGUAUCUUACCAGAAAGGGACGGCUAACUACGUG